CAGUCGCCACGGGAAUACGAGGGGGGCAAGCGUUGUUCGGAAUUAUUGGGCGUAAAGAGCUCGUAGGCGGUUUGUCGCGUCUGCCGUGAAAGUCCGGGGCUCAACCCCGGAUCUGCGGUGGGUACGGGCAGACUAGAGUGAUGUAGGGGAGACUGGAAUUCCUGGUGUAGCGAUGAAAUGCGCAGAUAUCAGGAGGAACACCGAUGGCGAAGGCAGGUCUCUGGGCAUUAACUGACGCUGAGGAGCGAAAGCAUGGGGAGCGAACAGGAUUAGAUACCCGCGUAGUCCCUGUCUCUUAUAC
RNAcentral lists this ribosomal RNA (301 nucleotides) under uncultured bacterium. RNAcentral describes it as "partial 16S ribosomal RNA". It matches the Rfam family "Bacterial small subunit ribosomal RNA", at positions 509 to 807 of the family's 1533-position model. The record is from RNAcentral.